AUGAGUAAUGCAACCUUCUCUAUAUGCUCGUGGAAUGUACAUGGCCUAGGCGACGAUGCCAAAUUCUCUGAUGUUCUCUCUGAACUAAUCUCGAUCAAUCCUCACAUCGCCUUAUUACAAGAGUCAAAACUAGAUACGCUCUCUGACCCAAAGGUAAGAUCCUUCCUGCCUCGGCAGCUUGAUCAAGUCUUCUCCUUACCAGCCGUAGGUACUGCGGGUGGCACCAUUACAGUCGUCAACACUGCCUCUUUCCAAGUGAUCUCCUUCAACCACCUCUCUUUCUCUUCAACCUCGAUCUUGCGAUCAACGACAACAGACCGCAAUGUAGCCAUCACCAAUAUUUACACCCCCUCCUCCCGCACUCUCAAGCAAUCCUUCCUCGAUGAGUUACUAGCUAUCGCCCAACCAGAUGACUCACCCUGGCUACUCGUGGGCGACUUCAACCUCCUCAGUUUCCCCUCUGACAAAAACAAUGAUGUGUUUAGACAGACCAAAGCCAAUGCGUUUAACCAAAUGCUUGAUGACCUUGCCCUCAUCGAACUACCACUUCUAGACCGCCAAUUCACAUGGUCCAACAAUAGAGCCACACCUACCCUAGAACGGAUCUACCGUGCCUUUUUUAACUUGGCAUGGGCUGAGGCCUUCCCCAAUUCUUCCCUCUCACCCCUCACGCGUUUCGCGUCCGACCACGCCCCCCUCCUCAUCCACGUCACCACAACAAUCCCGCGGUCCAACUUUUUUAAAUUUGAACCUGGUUGGGCUAAUUUCCAGCACUGCUGA
RNAcentral lists this ribosomal RNA (780 nucleotides) under Triticum aestivum (bread wheat). RNAcentral's name for it is "partial small subunit ribosomal RNA". Lineage: Eukaryota; Viridiplantae; Streptophyta; Magnoliopsida; Poales; Poaceae. The record is from RNAcentral.